Molecule: ribosomal RNA, 535 nt
Filed under: uncultured Pseudomonas sp.
Lineage: Bacteria; Pseudomonadati; Pseudomonadota; Gammaproteobacteria; Pseudomonadales; Pseudomonadaceae
Description: bacterial SSU rRNA
Rfam family: Bacterial small subunit ribosomal RNA
Source: RNAcentral
GCCUAGCACAUGCAAGUCGAGCGGAUGAAGGGAGCUUGCUCCUGGAUUCAGCGGCGGACGGGUGAGUAAUGCCUAGGAAUCUGCCUGGUAGUGGGGGAUAACGUCCGGAAACGGGCGCUAAUACCGCAUACGUCCUGAGGGAGAAAGUGGGGGAUCUUCGGACCUCACGCUAUCAGAUGAGCCUAGGUCGGAUUAGCUAGUUGGUGGGGUAAAGGCCUACCAAGGCGACGAUCCGUAACUGGUCUGAGAGGAUGAUCAGUCACACUGGAACUGAGACACGGUCCAGACUCCUACGGGAGGCAGCAGUGGGGAAUAUUGGACAAUGGGCGAAAGCCUGAUCCAGCCAUGCCGCGUGUGUGAAGAAGGUCUUCGGAUUGUAAAGCACUUUAAGUUGGGAGGAAGGGCAGUAAGUUAAUACCUUGCUGUUUUGACGUUACCAACAGAAUAAGCACCGGCUAACUUCGUGCCAGCAGCCGCGGUAAUACGAAGGGUGCAAGCGUUAAUCGGAAUUACUGGGCGUAAAGCGCGCGUAGGU